CAUCACUAAUCCUAAAGGCUCCUUCUGGGAUGAAUUGACUUUCUCCGCAGCCUGCCCGCCUGCCCUCUUGCAGAUCCUGUCAAGAGGACUGCUUGUGUUGCUUUGCCUCUUUGCCCCUAUCUUUCUACUUCAAACACUGUCUGAUCUCACCUCCACUCACAAAACACAGUGCUUUAGAAAUCAUCAAACCAAACUGAGCCUAACUUCACGUAAAGCUGACUUGGUUAGAAGGAAAAGGCUAUUUUUUUUCCUGUUCCUGUUGUGGUAUUUUAUUCUUCUUUCACAAGCCAAGUUCAUCUACUUCAAGAAAGAAAAUAUCUGAUUCCAUUCACUGAUAAAGACAGUUAUCUUACGUCUACAAGUAUAAAGGAGAACCCCAUUGUUCCAGUCUUACUUUGAAUGCCCUCUUGUUCCAAGUCUUCGUGUUGUCAGGAGAGGAAACUUUUGGCGAAUUGUCUAUAAAAGAAAGAUAAAGUUUGUAACUUGUGUAGCUCUAAUGCAAGCCAUUCCUGUCCUACUAAUUUAAGAAAGUAAAUGGUGGACUAAAAGGAACACUUAAGCUACAGGAAAGUAAUACACGUGUGUUGAUAAGAAUGACAUCGAUUACCAUGGAAGAGCCUACCAAGAUCUAUUUUUGCUUGAUGUAACUACCGAAGCAAUAGUUACUUUAUUUACACACGCAGGAGGACUGUUUAGAUUCCUCUAUAAUAAUUCCAUUCAGGGGUUUACCCCCAUUAAAUAUCCAUCACCAUUCUGAAAGAAUCCUUGGAUCUGAAGAGAGCUCCAUGGAAAAUUUGAUGAAAUUAAUUACUUCUAGUUUUAUCGGAUGUUCAAGGUGCUCUGUGAUUCCCACUUAAGGAUAAUUGCCAUAAGGUAGACUCAGAAAAAUUGUAGGACUAACAUGGACAUCUAAAACUGUCUCAUCCAGCCUCAGAGGGUGCACUGAGCCUUGAGAAGACCGAUUAUCAGCAAGUAUAAAAUAAGCUAAUCACAGGCGUGGUUCUAAGCCCAUGAGCACCACGCUCCAUAUUACACUCUCUUACAAGAAAACAUGUUUUCAAAAUAAUUAAACUACUUUUUAACAUUA
Long non-coding RNA from Peromyscus eremicus (cactus mouse), 1087 nucleotides. RefSeq lists it as uncharacterized. The transcript has 2 exons. NCBI's taxonomy places the organism in Eukaryota, Metazoa, Chordata, Mammalia, Rodentia, Cricetidae. The record is from RefSeq and is a predicted model, not a curated record.